CAGUCGCCGCGGGAAUACGAAGGGUGCAAGCGUUACUCGGAAUUACUGGGCGUAAAGCGUGCGUAGGUGGUGGUUUAAGUCCGUUGUGAAAGCCCUGGGCUCAACCUGGGAAUUGCAGUGGAUACUGGAUCACUAGAGUGUGGUAGAGGAUAGUGGAAUUUCCGGUGUAGCAGUGAAAUGCGUAGAGAUCGGAAGGAACAUCUGUGGCGAAGGCGACUAUCUGGGCCAACACUGACACUGAGGCACGAAAGCGUGGGGAGCAAACAGGAUUAGAUACCCCUGUAGUCCCUGUCUCUUAUAA
RNAcentral lists this ribosomal RNA (301 nucleotides) under uncultured bacterium. RNAcentral describes it as "partial 16S ribosomal RNA". It matches the Rfam family "Bacterial small subunit ribosomal RNA", at positions 509 to 809 of the family's 1533-position model. The record is from RNAcentral.